RNAcentral lists this ribosomal RNA (1294 nucleotides) under Clostridium thermobutyricum DSM 4928. RNAcentral describes it as "bacterial LSU rRNA". It matches the Rfam family "Bacterial large subunit ribosomal RNA", at positions 1489 to 2793 of the family's 2925-position model. Lineage: Bacteria; Bacillati; Bacillota; Clostridia; Eubacteriales; Clostridiaceae. The record is from RNAcentral.
GUGCUAGCUAUUGGAUGCUAGUCUAAGCGUUUAGGGAGUUAGAGGAGGCAAAUCCACUCUAACAUAUCCUGAGGCGUGAUGGGGAAGGUUCUACGGAACCGAAGUGCUUGAUUCUAUGCUUCCAAGAAAAGCAUCUAGAGAGAGAAGUAGUGCCCGUACCGCAAACCGACACAGGUAGGUGAGGAGAGAAUCCUAAGGCCGGCGGAAGAAUUGCAGUUAAGGAACUAGGCAAAUUGACCCCGUAACUUCGGGAGAAGGGGUGCCUACGAGAGUAGGCCGCAGAGAAUAGGCACAAGCAACUGUUUAGCAAAAACACAGGUCUCUGCUAAAGCGAAAGCUGAUGUAUAGGGGCUGACGCCUGCCCGGUGCUGGAAGGUUAAGGGGAAUACUUAGCGCAAGCGAAGGUAUGAACUUAAGCCCCAGUAAACGGCGGCCGUAACUAUAACGGUCCUAAGGUAGCGAAAUUCCUUGUCAGGUAAGUUCUGACCCGCACGAAUGGCGUAAUGACUUGUGCACUGUCUCAACUGCAAAUCCGGCGAAGUUGUAGUGCGAGUGAAGAUGCUCGCUACCCGCGAUUGGACGGAAAGACCCCGUAGAGCUUUACUGUAGCUUAGCAUUGAAUUUCGGUAUUAUCUGUACAGGAUAGGUGGGAGACUAGGAAACUAGGACGUCAGUCUUAGUGGAGUCGCCCUUGGGAUACCACCCUGAUAUUACUGGAGUUCUAACAGGACGCCAUGAAACUGGUGACUGGACAUUGUUAGGUGGGCAGUUUGACUGGGGCGGUCGCCUCCUAAAAAGUAACGGAGGCGCCCAAAGGUUCCCUCAGAACGGUCGGAAAUCGUUCGAAGAGUGCAAAGGCAGAAGGGAGCCUGACUGCGACACCCACAAGUGGAGCAGGGACGAAAGUCGGGCUUAGUGAUCCGGUGGUACCUCGUGGGAGGGCCAUCGCUCAACGGAUAAAAGCUACCUCGGGGAUAACAGGCUGAUCUCCCCCAAGAGUUCACAUCGACGGGGAGGUUUGGCACCUCGAUGUCGGCUCGUCGCAUCCUGGGGCUGAAGUAGGUCCCAAGGGUUGGGCUGUUCGCCCAUUAAAGCGGCACGCGAGCUGGGUUCAGAACGUCGUGAGACAGUUCGGUCCCUAUCCGUCGCGGGCGUAGGAAAUUUGAGAGGAGCUGUCCUUAGUACGAGAGGACCGGGAUGGACUGACCUAUGGUGUACCAGUUGUUUCGCCAGAAGCAUAGCUGGGUAGCUAAGUCGGGAAGGGAUAAACGCUGAAAGCAUCUAAGCGUGAAGC